Long non-coding RNA from Oncorhynchus kisutch (coho salmon), 5480 nucleotides. RefSeq lists it as uncharacterized. The transcript is spliced from 9 exons. Lineage: Eukaryota; Metazoa; Chordata; Actinopteri; Salmoniformes; Salmonidae. The record is from RefSeq and is a predicted model, not a curated record.
AUUACAAAGCGGAUCGAUGAAAGCCCAGACUGAUCGAUCGUUGUCAUACUUUCAAUUUACUUUUUUAAACAAACUAGCCCUUUCGUUAAUUCAUGAUUUGACGUAUAGGCCAACCAAAUGGCACGCAACACAUCCACCUUUUUUAUUUCUUUGUAAAUGAUACCAUACCCUGUCAUUUUAGGGUCAAAUUCGAUGUACUUUACAUCACGCUCAUCAGUUCAGUAUUUGUACAGAGGGUUGCUACAGUAACGUUUGCAAGACAACACGCGGUCACUGUGAGCGGUAGUAACUUCACCGUCAUUGGUUCCAUCAUAAAGAUCCGCAUGUUUAUUAAUUUCACUGGGUAUGACACAAAGAUAGCUAAUUUAGCAGGUGUGGUGAUACUGAUGAUUUUGGGCACAGAUGGUUUGUUUACAUAGCAGUCAGGAUAAUUAACGUCGCAUGUUAGGAUAAUUAACGUGGCAGGUUACGAGAACUAACGCAGCAGGAUAUGUGAAUUAAUGUAGCAGGUUAUGAGAAUGAGGUUAAGGUUAUGAAAAUAGUUAGGAUUAGUUAAUGCUUCGGUUGUCAACAGCUGUUUUCCCCGACGCGACCACUGGAUAGAGAUGUAGGCCUACCCCAUCUAACCACAACAGAGGAAACGUAAACAAACCAUAUGUGGCGACAAAUCAGAGGAAAAGGCUAAACGAGAGGGUUUACUCAGCCCAAAAAAUGUAAGCGAAAAUAAAACCGUGAGAGUGUCGAAUUUGUUCAACGAAAAUGUAAUGUCUUAUUUUUUACCUGAGGUUUAUUUCAUCGAAUAGAAGUUUCGUAAUGCUUAAAUUGUUACGCGUAUGCUGAUAUAAAUUGGACACGUGACAUCCCAGCAACUUUGAGAAAAAAACACUUUAUAUUGGAGUUGUCUCGAGAUGGUUUAACGUCGUAUUAAUGUAAUGUGGCUGUAGCAUUAAAUCUCUCGUCAUUGAAUAUGGGCGGUUGAAGUUAACCACCCUCAUCAAAUAUAUAAAAAACAAAACAAUAAAUAGAUGUAUCCACCAAUCCAAAGAAUAGGCGGGAACUAGACAGCCAGCGGUGCCACUUUGUGAACAACGACUCCCAUUGUUAGGGCGGAGAGACAUGUAGUCUUGUCAGUUUUCCAUAAUCUUUGGUUUGAUGAAAACAUCUCUGGUGGGAAAAUGCAUAUUGUUUUAGGCAGAUGAGGUUAUUCGCAUGAAAAUCUGCCCCAAAUUGGUUGGAAACCUAGCUAUAGACGUGAAACUAGUUAGGGAAUUAAGAAAAUGUAAUGGUAGCAAAGUUAUUCAUAUGAAGAUAAUGAAAGGGUGAUUUCUGUUAGGCUAGUUGAAGAAGUCAGUAAUCUGAUUGACAGCCAGUAGUACGAGCUAGUGAGUAACGUUAGUGUUCUCGGGUUGUUAGCUAGGCAACUGUUGUGGCAAUGACUUCUAGAGGUAGAGGAACCCAAAAACCAAACAUAUCUGGUACAAAAGGAACUCCACGCAUUGCUAUAUCCAGUUAUAAAAUCGGAUACACCUGGAACCAAGGUGGAAGACAAGGCCCCGAGAAUAAGGUGAGAAGUACCCCCUUCAAAUAAAUCGCAUUUUCUAUCUGGAAUCCCGGGGCGUCCCUACCCCAUUUGAAGUUGACAUUUUAAAAUGGUUAGGGUAGGUGUAGCUCUCAAACUCUAGGCGAUGUUCUGCCUUCGAUCUACAGUUUCCGGCUGACGUUAAUUAGCUUCGCCUACCUCACCUGAACUUGCUACAAUCCCGACUCGUUGUUUUAGAAACGUCAAUAAUCAUCGCUUGCGAUACGGCUUUCGAAACAUAUGACCCUUAUCUUUCAUCAGCGAGAAAGAAUCCUUCAAAUAAAAAAAUAUAAGAGUCCAAUUACUCUUAUGUGUUAUGUAACGGAACUGAGAGUCACGAUCAAGGGCUAGGACGUCCCAACGAUUCGAAAUGGCACUAAACACAAAUACUUGACCUAUCCACAUGGGGGUACUUGAGACUACUAAUGAGACCAUAAACAUACGGGUAAAAUGUAUACGAGGAAGUAUUUCAGGGGUACCCGUACCCCCUCACCAGAGCAAACUUCAGUUGGUGGUACAGUAACCGAAAAACGUUGGGAACCACUGAUUUAAGGUACUGUAUGUUUAGUGACUGGAGUUGGCCAUCCCUGAAAUCGGUCUUUCUUCCAGGCAACUUGCAUGGAGUUCCUCAGACUAUGGAUACAGAAGACUUUUGGAUGGGUUCAUCCUUACAAUGCCAGGUGCACUUUCUCAGGAAUAGCCUAUAGAUUACAGACAGAUUACAUCACUGCUUGAAUUUAUAAUGCAUUGCAAUGUCCAUUCCAAAUGGUGGGGAAAUAACAUUGGUAAAGCUCUUGAUACUAUGCUGUUAAUAUAUCCACUGUGUGUAGCCUGAGUUCACUAACUGGAAGAAUGUUACCUUGUCCAAUCUGUAGGUCUCACAUCACAGAGUGGGGCUGGAAGGAUGAGUGGUGGACAGCUAGGAGGGAGUUGAGGCUCACAGUGAGGGCAGAGUGCAUUACAACUGAUAGAUGCUAUUUUUGUUCAUUUUAUAUGAAAUUACUUUGAAUUAGGAACAAUACACUGCCUCUGGGAGGUUAGUGAGCUUCCUACAUACAGUCAUUGCGUGAGUGAUUAUUUUAUGUGUAUUAUAUAUGUAUUCUGUCAUAGGCACUACGUUCAUGCCUGUAUAAGCUUUGUUCACCUCCGCCAAGCUAAGAGGAAACCACAAGGUGCCAUCUUCUGUUAAUCAUUUGUACUACUGUACCUCUUAUCACAAUCACUGGAUGGCAUUCAUGGUCCAGGAUAAUAUACUCCCAGUUUAGGAUAUCAGAAACGUAUAUUGACAAUUGUAGCCAAACUUGGGUUGUCUCCAACACAUACUACAGACCUGCCUGUUGUCCGCUAGAACUUGCGUUCACAUUACCAUUUCUUUCUGUUGUUGUUAACCCUCAUGUAUUCAAAUCAAAUUUUAUUUGUCACAUACACAUGGUUAGCAGAUGUUAAUGCGAGUGUAGCGAAAUGCUUGUGUUUCAGACACUGACAGAUGUGAAGUCACAUACUAUUGCAAGAACAACAUUUGCAAUACUCACCUUAUGGUUAACUUCAUGUGCCCUCAUCUACCUCAACAUCAUACUUCGGGAACAUAUUGCAAGAAGAUUAAGUGAAUUUCCUGAGUUUAUGUGCAGAUGUGGACUUGUGCAUUCAGGAGUCAGAGAGAUCAGUCAGCAGCAAGUCAACACCGCCAUCUAUUGCACGCUGGUCUGAGAAGUCUGGCCCUUAAUAUCGCUCAGAUACUCAUCGACUCAACAAGAACAUCGCUGUCCAGCAUCAUCAUCACACUGUAAGAGGCAGGCAUUGGAUAAUCUGGCAGCAACGUCUGGAGGAGGCUGAAGAUUGGGUACUUCAGAUGCAGAUGACACACAUCCACUACAGGAGGGUUCUGCGUGUGUGGAAGGAGACUGCGGCAGCCAGGAGCAGUGAGAAGAGGGCAGGGAACCACUACCGGCACUGUUCAGGCUAAGGUGCUGUUGGCAUGGAGGAAAGCCACAUCCUGUGUCAAACCGUCACCGGCAGUGAGCAGGGCUCCGAGUCGCAUGGAUAAAGUGAGGCAGCGGUGGACUUUCAGGAGAUGGUGGGAACAGAGCGGUUGUGGAGGAGAGUACAGGUGUGGAGAAAACCAAAAGGCACCACCACUCUUCUUUGCAGUAUGUUCAGAUUGGGGACUAUGUACCGGCAGCAUCAGCAGAGCAAUAAGGUGAUGCAAGAAACAGGACACUCAAUGUUGAGACUGGCCGCCCCCAGUUGGUAAGGGGAGGUAACAACACAGCCGCCAUGCUUAUCCUCAACACGGGGGCCCCUCCUGUACCCCCUGUUCACUCAUGACUGCACGGCCAGGCACAACUCCAACACCAUCAAGUUUGCCGAUGACACAACAGUGGUAGGCCUGAUCACUGACAAGGAUGAGAAAGCCUAUAGGGAGGUCAGAGACCUGACCGUGUGGUGCAAGGACAACAACUUCUCCCUCAAUGUGAUCAAGACAGAGGAGAUGAUUGUGGACAACAGGAAAAGGAGGACCAAGCAUGCCCCCAUUCUCAUCGACAGGGCUGUAGUGGUGCAGGUUGAGAGCUUCAAGUUCCUUGGCGUCCACAUCAACAACAAACUAACAUGGUCCAAGCACACCAAGACAGUCGUGAAGAGGGCACGACAAAACCUAUUCCCCCUCAGGAGACUGAAAAGAUUUGGCAUGGGUCUUCAGAUCCUCAAAAGGUUCUACAGCUGCACCAUCGAGAGCAUCCUGACGGGUUGCAUCACUGCCUGGUAUGGCAACUGCUCGGCCUCCGACCACAAGGCACAACAGAGGGUAGUGCGUACGGCCCAGUACAUCACCGGGCCAAGAUUCCUGCCACCAAGGACCUCUAUACCUGGCGGUGUCAGAGGAAGGCCGUAAAAAUUGUCAGACUCCAGCCACCCUAGUCAUGGACUGUUCUCUCUCAUAAGACUCCUAAUCAAAUGGCUACCUAUACUAUUUGCACCCCCCCCCCCCCCCCGCGCUGCUGCUACUGUCUGUUAUUUCUAUGCAUAGCCACUUUAACAACCCUACCUGCAUGUACAUAAUUGUUAAUUACCUCGACACCAGUUCCCCGCACAUUGCCUCUGUAUCGGUACCCCCUGUAUAUAGCCCCGCUAUUGUUAUUCACUGCUGCUCUUAAUUAUUUGUUUUUCUUAUCUCUUACUACUUAAUUUUUAUUUUUUAGGUAUUCUCUUAACCGCAUCGUUGGUUAAGGGCUUGUAAGUAAGCAUUUCACUGUAACCUGUUGUAUUUGGCGCAUGUGACAAAUACAAUUUGAUUUGAAACAAUACAUGCCAGCUCUUUUUCUUUUUUUGCACGCUGGAAUAUUGUGGUGAGGUUAUUGCUGUUUUACCAUGGUUAUUUCAAAUAUUAAAGGUCAACUUACCAAGACUUGUGUGAGAAAUUGUGUUCAGGUUACUUUAAAAUACAAUUAUUUAAUUGAAAAAUAGUGUUUUUGGAUGUUUCUUGGCUUUAAUGAUCUCCUCUUUCUAUGAUCCAUCUGUGAGCUUCUGAGUGUUGGGGUGAACUCCUGGCUGUUAUGUAACUCAGUGUUUUUUCUUCCCUGGCCUGCACAGCUGCAGCACAGAAGGGGAGAGAGGCUGAGCAGACAGAACUGGCCCUUUGGCAUUGGACCCUCAGUCUGCAGGCCAAGGUGCUGGAGGCUAUGGGUCGCGGAGCAGCACCGGAAGCAGGAGAGGCUGGCCCAGGCUGCCCAGUUCUAUAGAGACCAGCUUCUGAGGAAAGGGGUGGCCCACGCAGCUCACAUGGGCAGCUUCUGCACCAACAUAGCACUUCACAGCCAGGAGCAGAGUUCUUCGCGGUGUCUCCAGGGGUGGUGUUGCAGUGGAAACAGACAGCAGUGAGGUUUUAAAAAAUUUAAUAUUAUUU